UUAAGCGACUAAGCGUACACGGUGGAUGCCCUGGCAGUCAGAGGCGAUGAAGGACGUGCUAAUCUGCGAUAAGCGUCGGUGAGGUGAUAUGAACCGUUAUAACCGGCGAUUUCCGAAUGGGGAAACCCAGUGUGUUUCGACACACUAUCAUUAACUGAAUCCAUAGGUUAAUGAGGCGAACCGGGGGAACUGAAACAUCUAAGUACCCCGAGGAAAAGAAAUCAACCGAGAUUCCCCCAGUAGCGGCGAGCGAACGGGGAGGAGCCCAGAGCCUGAAUCAGUGUGUGUGUUAGUGGAAGCGUCUGGAAAGGCGCGCGAUACAGGGUGACAGCCCCGUACACAAAAAUGCACAUGCUGUGAGCUCGAUGAGUAGGGCGGGACACGUGGUAUCCUGUCUGAAUAUGGGGGGACCAUCCUCCAAGGCUAAAUACUCCUGACUGACCGAUAGUGAACCAGUACCGUGAGGGAAAGGCGAAAAGAACCCCGGCGAGGGGAGUGAAAAAGAACCUGAAACCGUGUACGUACAAGCAGUGGGAGCCUCUUUAUGGGGUGACUGCGUACCUUUUGUAUAAUGGGUCAGCGACUUAUAUUCUGUAGCAAGGUUAACCGAAUAGGGGAGCCGAAGGGAAACCGAGUCUUAACUGGGCGUUAAGUUGCAGGGUAUAGACCCGAAACCCGGUGAUCUAGCCAUGGGCAGGUUGAAGGUUGGGUAACACUAACUGGAGGACCGAACCGACUAAUGUUGAAAAAUUAGCGGAUGACUUGUGGCUGGGGGUGAAAGGCCAAUCAAACCGGGAGAUAGCUGGUUCUCCCCGAAAGCUAUUUAGGUAGCGCCUCGUGAAUUCAUCUCCGGGGGUAGAGCACUGUUUCGGCAAGGGGGUCAUCCCGACUUACCAACCCGAUGCAAACUGCGAAUACCGGAGAAUGUUAUCACGGGAGACACACGGCGGGUGCUAACGUCCGUCGUGAAGAGGGAAACAACCCAGACCGCCAGCUAAGGUCCCAAAGUCAUGGUUAAGUGGGAAACGAUGUGGGAAGGCCCAGACAGCCAGGAUGUUGGCUUAGAAGCAGCCAUCAUUUAAAGAAAGCGUAAUAGCUCACUGGUCGAGUCGGCCUGCGCGGAAGAUGUAACGGGGCUAAACCAUGCACCGAAGCUGCGGCAGCGACGCUUAUGCGUUGUUGGGUAGGGGAGCGUUCUGUAAGCCUGUGAAGGUGUGCUGUGAGGCAUGCUGGAGGUAUCAGAAGUGCGAAUGCUGACAUAAGUAACGAUAAAGCGGGUGAAAAGCCCGCUCGCCGGAAGACCAAGGGUUCCUGUCCAACGUUAAUCGGGGCAGGGUGAGUCGACCCCUAAGGCGAGGCCGAAAGGCGUAGUCGAUGGGAAACAGGUUAAUAUUCCUGUACUUGGUGUUACUGCGAAGGGGGGACGGAGAAGGCUAUGUUGGCCGGGCGACGGUUGUCCCGGUUUAAGCGUGUAGGCUGAUUUUCCAGGCAAAUCCGGAAAAUCAAGGCUGAGGCGUGAUGACGAGGCACUACGGUGCUGAAGCAACAAAUGCCCUGCUUCCAGGAAAAGCCUCUAAGCAUCAGGUAACAUCAAAUCGUACCCCAAACCGACACAGGUGGUCAGGUAGAGAAUACCAAGGCGCUUGAGAGAACUCGGGUGAAGGAACUAGGCAAAAUGGUGCCGUAACUUCGGGAGAAGGCACGCUGAUAUGUAGGUGAAGCGACUUGCUCGUGGAGCUGAAAUCAGUCGAAGAUACCAGCUGGCUGCAACUGUUUAUUAAAAACACAGCACUGUGCAAACACGAAAGUGGACGUAUACGGUGUGACGCCUGCCCGGUGCCGGAAGGUUAAUUGAUGGGGUUAGCGGCAACGCGAAGCUCUUGAUCGAAGCCCCGGUAAACGGCGGCCGUAACUAUAACGGUCCUAAGGUAGCGAAAUUCCUUGUCGGGUAAGUUCCGACCUGCACGAAUGGCGUAAUGAUGGCCAGGCUGUCUCCACCCGAGACUCAGUGAAAUUGAACUCGCUGUGAAGAUGCAGUGUACCCGCGGCAAGACGGAAAGACCCCGUGAACCUUUACUAUAGCUUGACACUGAACAUUGAGCCUUGAUGUGUAGGAUAGGUGGGAGGCUUUGAAGUGUGGACGCCAGUCUGCAUGGAGCCGACCUUGAAAUACCACCCUUUAAUGUUUGAUGUUCUAACGUGGGCCCGUAAUCCGGGUUGCGGACAGUGUCUGGUGGGUAGUUUGACUGGGGCGGUCUCCUCCUAAAGAGUAACGGAGGAGCACGAAGGUUGGCUAAUCCUGGUCGGACAUCAGGAGGUUAGUGCAAUGGCAUAAGCCAGCUUGACUGCGAGCGUGACGGCGCGAGCAGGUGCGAAAGCAGGUCAUAGUGAUCCGGUGGUUCUGAAUGGAAGGGCCAUCGCUCAACGGAUAAAAGGUACUCCGGGGAUAACAGGCUGAUACCGCCCAAGAGUUCAUAUCGACGGCGGUGUUUGGCACCUCGAUGUCGGCUCAUCACAUCCUGGGGCUGAAGUAGGUCCCAAGGGUAUGGCUGUUCGCCAUUUAAAGUGGUACGCGAGCUGGGUUUAGAACGUCGUGAGACAGUUCGGUCCCUAUCUGCCGUGGGCGCUGGAGAACUGAGGGGGGCUGCUCCUAGUACGAGAGGACCGGAGUGGACGCAUCACUGGUGUUCGGGUUGUCAUGCCAAUGGCACUGCCCGGUAGCUAAAUGCGGAAGAGAUAAGUGCUGAAAGCAUCUAAGCACGAAACUUGCCCCGAGAUGAGUUCUCCCUGACUCCUUGAGAGUCCUGAAGGAACGUUGAAGACGACGACGUUGAUAGGCCGGGUGUGUAAGCGCAGCGAUGCGUUGAGCUAACCGGUACUAAUGAACCGUGAGGCUUAACCUU
RNAcentral lists this ribosomal RNA (2903 nucleotides) under Escherichia coli. Its description in RNAcentral is "bacterial LSU rRNA". It matches the Rfam family "Bacterial large subunit ribosomal RNA". The record is from RNAcentral. Lineage: Bacteria; Pseudomonadati; Pseudomonadota; Gammaproteobacteria; Enterobacterales; Enterobacteriaceae.